This 787-nucleotide ribosomal RNA is filed under the name uncultured bacterium. RNAcentral describes it as "bacterial SSU rRNA". It matches the Rfam family "Bacterial small subunit ribosomal RNA", at positions 8 to 794 of the family's 1533-position model. The record is from RNAcentral.
AGAGUUUGAUCAUGGCUCAGGAUGAACGCUAGCGGCGGGCUUAAUACAUGCAAGUCGAACGGUAACAGGUCUUCGGAUGCUGACGAGUGGCGCACGGGUGCGUAACGCGUACACAAUCUACCUUUAAGUGGGGUAUAGCCUUGGGAAACUGAGAAUAAUCCCCCAUAGUAUCAAUGGUUCGCAUGGAUUGUUGAUUAAAGAUUUAUUGCUUAAAGAUGAGUGUGCGUUUGAUUAGGUAGUUGGAGAGGUAACGGCUCCCCAAGCCGACGAUCAAUAACUGGUCUGAGAGGAUGAUCAGUCACACGGGAACUGAGACAUGGUCCCGACUCCUACGGGAGGCAGCAGUAGGGAAUAUUGGGCAAUGGAGGCAACUCUGACCCAGCCACGCCGCGUGGAGGAUGAAGGUGCUAUGCAUCGUAAACUUCUUUUGUCAAGGGAGAAAGUGCUUGAUUUAUCGAGUUUUGACGGUACUUGGCGAAUAAGCAUCGGCUAACUACGUGCCAGCAGCCGCGGUAAUACGUAGGAUGCAAGCGUUAUCCGGAAUCACUGGGUUUAAAGGGUCUGUAGGCGGUAUCAUAAGUCAGUGGUGAAAUAUCUGGGCUUAACUUGGAGGGUGCCAUUGAUACUGUAGUACUUGGGAUAGAAUGACGUGGGCGGAAUGUGUCAUGUAGCGGUGAAAUGCUUAGAGAUGACACAGAACACCGAUUGCGAAGGCAGCUCACGAAGCCUUAUCUGACGCUGAGGGACGAAGGCGUGGGGAGCAAACAGGAUUAGAUACCCCGGUAGU